AGUGAACGCUGGCGGUAGGCCUAACACAUGCAAGUCGAACGGCAGCACAGUAAGAGCUUGCUCUUACGGGUGGCGAGUGGCGGACGGGUGAGGAAUACAUCGGAAUCUACUUUUUCGUGGGUGAUAACGUAGGGAAACUUACGCUAAUACCGCAUACGACCUACGGGUUAAAGCAGGUGAUCUUCGGACCUUGCGCGAUUGUAUGAGCCGAUGUCGGAUUAGCUAGUUGGCGGGGUAAAGUCCCACCAAGGCGACGAUCCGUAGCUGAUCUGAGAGGAUGAUCAGCAACACGGGAACUGAGACACGGUCCAGAAGCCUACGGGAGGAAGCAGUGGGGAAUAUUGGACAAUGGGAGAAAGCAUGAUCCAGCCAUACCGCGUGGGUGAAGAAGGACUUCGGGUUGUAAAGCCCUUUUGUUGGGAAAGAAAAGAAGCAGGUUAAUACCCCGCUGUUCUGACGGUACCCAAAGAAUAAGCACCGGCUAACUUCGUG
This 492-nucleotide ribosomal RNA is filed under the name uncultured bacterium. RNAcentral's name for it is "partial 16S ribosomal RNA". It matches the Rfam family "Bacterial small subunit ribosomal RNA", at positions 29 to 507 of the family's 1533-position model. The record is from RNAcentral.